CAACAACAACAACCCAGUAUAAUCCGACUUAGUGGGGUCUGGGGAGGGUAGUAUGUACGCAGACCUUAUCCCUACCCUUGGGUAGAGAGGCUGUUUCCAAAUAGACCCCCGGCAUCUUCCNNNNNNNNNNNNNNNNNNNNNNNNNNNNNNNNNNNNNNNNNNNNNNNNNNNNNNNNNNNNNNNNNNNNNNNNNNNNNCUCCAAGAACUUCCCACCUUGCUCUUGGGGAGACUUGAACUCACAACCUCUCGGUUGGAAGUGGGGGUUGCUUACCAUCAGAGCAACCCUUUUUGUCUCAUCAUGUCAAGACUAAUCUAAAGAUUUUGUCAUUUAACAAUAUGGGCAACUUCUAACAUCUCUUAGAUUAUCUUUUCUCGGAAAGGGAGGUUGCAUUUCUUAUUAAUCAGAAUCUCUUCUAUUGAAUUGUGAAUUGCCCUCAUUGUGCAGAUCUAUUGACCAAAGACUACAACUAUGAUCAGAAGUUCUCCUUCUCUAUUCCGAGCUCCAGUGGAGUGGUACUAGCUUAUAUCAUUCUUUCAUUUAGUUUACUUGGUCUGUCACUAUUGGGCUUCAGAAAGCUGUCAAACUUCUCCACUUGCACAUCUUAUCUGUUUUUAUUUAUUGUAGUUUGUUUAUUAGUUAUGGGAUACAGACGUAUACUCUAUUUACGAAAUCAUCCAUUUGCUCUGAAAUUCAUUAUAAUGUGGCGUCCAGUUUGAGAGUCUGAUGUCCUAGAAUUUUCAAAUGUGAAAAAUGUUUGCUGGGGCUUUAAGCGCAAGGCGUAGUUAGUGCAUGAAAUAUGAUGAAUAAGACGCUAAUGAAGAAAAAUAAACUAUAAUGUGUGGAAUGUAAGAAGAUAACUAUAUACACAAACUAUCAUAUUUUGGAUAAUGUAAAACUCCCUCGAAAAGCGAAAAGGUACACAUAAAAUAGAACAGAGGGAGUAUUAUAAAACAAACAUAUGAAGUAUAGGAUCAUGUGAAUGAAGUUCAAAACCAUUUUAAAUUGGGGAAUUACUAGCUAUGUCCAUUUAUAAGUAGCUCAUUACAAAAACUGGCCAAUUAAUAAAAUUAGGGGUGUUCAAAACCGAUCCGAAACCGAAAACCGAUCCAAAUCGAAGCUUAACGACUUACUGGUAACGGCUUAACGGACGGGGAACGGAUUGAAUUAUUUUUAUUAACGGCUUAUCGGUUUGGGGAUUGUUUAUUCAAUUUUCUUAACGGCUAAUCCGUUAACCCGUUAAGAAUAUAAAUAUAUAUUAUAUAUNNNNNNNNNNNNNNNNNNNNNNNNNNNNNNNNNNNNNNNNNNNNNNNNNNNNNNNNNNNNNNNNNNNNNNNNNNNNNNNNNNNNNNNNNNNNNNNNNNNNNNNNNNNNNNNNNNNNNNNNNNNNNNNNNNNNNNNNNNNNNNNNNNNNNNNNNNNNNNAUAUAUAUAUAUAUAUAUAUAUAUAUAUAUAAUUUAUUUUUAUUUAUAUAUAUUAAAUAUAAAAAAAUUAAAACCUUUGAAAAUGAUUAACAAAAAGUUUAUUUCUGCUUCUAAGCAUUUUUAUUCCGGGAUCUAGAAAUUUUUUGGUUCUAUUUUUAAUUUAUUUUUGGUUGUAAUCCUCAUGUUUGGCAACAUGUCGGAGAUGGUAAAGCUAAUUUCCUAUCAUGAAAAUCAAAUUGAGUGGCUCUGGCAAAGAAAAUUGAAUGCAUCAUAUUGCCUCUAAAGUAUUAUUUUAUAUGGAAAUUCAUUAUUUCUAAGACGAGGAGAAUAAGAGAUAUUUAGUGAACAUGUAUGUUAGGCCGAUAAACCGCCCAUUAACCGCUAUAUAAGAGCUAACCCGAUACCAAUCCGCCCGAUAUCUUAUCCGGUGGCUAACUGAUUAAUACAUUUAAACUAAAGCUAAUUUCCUAAUCGCGGAAAUCAAAUUGAGUGGCUAUGGCAAAGAAAAUUGAAUGCAUCAUAUUGCCUCAAAAAUAUGAUUUUUUAUGGCAAUUCAUUAUUUCUAAGACGAGGAGAAUAAGAGAUAUUUAGUGAACAUGUAUGUUAGGCCGAUAAACCGCGCAUUAACCACCCUAUAAGAGCUAACCCGAUACCAAUCCGCCCGAUAUCUUAUCGGGUGGCUAACAGAUUAAUACAUUUGAAAGCCGAUAACUGUUAAGCCAAACCGUUAAGAGUAAAAAGUCGCCCAAUCCGCCCGAUAAGCACCCCUAGAUAAAAUAUUACUAAUAUUAGCCAAAUUAGCCAAUUAGCUAUUUGUAGCAAAAAAAUCAAAUUUUUGAUUUGUUUUGAGUGGGUGUUAUUCGAAUAGAUUGUGCACAACUUAAGGAGCUUGAAUAUCAGUUUUGAGAUGAUUUGGUUAAGUUUUGAGGUGGUUUGAAUUGAAAAUUCGAAGUAAAAGCUGAUCCUGAAAAAACAUGAUAUGUGUAUCACACUGUGUAUCAUUUGUAUAUCACACAUGUAUCAAUUGUGUAUCACAUGUAUAUCCAUGUAUACUUGUGUUUGAGAUAUAUGCUUGAUACAUGUUUGAUACAUGUAUCACAGAGGACUUUUUCGAACUUGAUUUAAUUACGAAUUUUGAUGCAAAAUCAGUCCAAAUCACCUCCAAUCUUCCUCAAAUUUUGUAUAUUGACUUAUUUAUAUAUUUUCAAUGAAUUUCAUCUAUACCCAUAGAAAAAUUCCCUUUUUGUUUAGAUUUUUGGAAUAUUGUAUAGAUUUUUAUAUUCCAUUACCUUAUUUGCUACCCCGUCUAUGAUAUUUCCUUUUCAUCUUGUAUCUAAUGUUGCUAAUCACGCUUAAAAAUAUGGAAGCUGACUUUUGCAUGUGAUUCUUUGAUAGGAAGAACCCUAUUAAUUAGUUUUUCAAUUGUGUUAGCUAGUUUUGGUAAGUCUAUGACUAAUAGCUAGAGGUUGGUAAGUUAAGAUUUAUUUGGGACAUUUGUGUAAGUUUCCCUUUUAAAUUUCUAAUAUAGAUGUAAAGAUGUAGUUUUAUGUUUUUACUAAUUAGUUUUCUCAUAAUAAAUUCUAUUUUUUAACAACAACAACAACAAUAACAUACCCAUUAUUAUUCCACACCGUGGGGUCUGGGGAGAGUAGUGUGUACGCGGACCUUACCCCUACCUUGAGGUUGUUUCCAAUAGACCAUCGGCUCAGGAAAGCAUACGCACCACAUUAAUAAAAAGAUAUACUAAGUGUUAAUUCUAUGUUGUUAUUCCUAGUAUGAUACUUUGUCAACUAUAUCUAUUGUCCAGUGUUGCCCUCUUAGAGGCAGAGCUGGUGGCAUGAGUGACAUGCCUUGAUGCCUGCACUAAGGUACCAGAUAAGCAAGGUGAGGUGCUCAACUGCGCAUCAGUAGCUUCAGGGUUUGUGCGCCUCUACCAAGCCUGUAACUAUACACCUUUUUUCGUUUAAUAGUGUAACUGAUGUUCAUUAGUGCAUUUAAAUUUAAUAGAAAACGAGGAGAGUUUAAAAGUUAUAUAGUCCUACACUAUCACACUUCCAUGUGCCUAUUAAUAGGGGUAUAUCCAUAAACCAUCCUGUAGGGUUAAAUUAGCAGAUUGUACUCCAUCUAAGAAUGGAUGUGAGUGUGUAUAUAGCAGAGACAAUUUUUCUGUUGAAUUUUGGUAAGGCAUUUAAUCUUGUUUACUCAUGCCAUGUUAUUUUGGUACAUUUGUAGUAUUCCAAAUAGUCCUAAUUAUCAGGUAAGAGAUUUUCUAUUCCACACAUGGCUGACCACUGAUACAGUAAUAAUUAGCACAUUUUCUAUUUAAUAAUUGGUGUAGAUGAAGGGGUAUACGAGGGAGCAGAGUAGGUCAAGGGGGCAAUAGUGACAUUUUAUGAAUGUCGAGAUAAAGAGGAGGUAAGUUGGAGAUUAAAGUUGGGUGGUAGCAUUCAAUCAAAUAGGAGAAAUAAGUAGGGAGUGAUUGGAGAGAGUGAUGAGGGAAGAUAAGGUUAGGAAGGCUAGUUGUACAGGUGAUAAGGCCCUGAGAUCGAAUGGAUUCACCUUGGCUUCUUCCAGACAGUGUUGGAGUACUAUCGGAGAAGAGGUUAUUGAGAUCAUCGCUGCAUUUUGGGAGACAGGAGAAUUUGAAAAAAGCAUUAAUGCAUACUUCAUACCCAUAAUACUGAAAAAGGAGGAAGCACUAAUGCACAUGCUAUAUAAUUUUUCGAGGAAUUUAUUUUAUUAGAAGCUUGCUUGAUCCAAGUGCUUCAUUGGCUAAUAUAACAGGUUACAUUUGCUAAUGCAGCUCGUUUCUGCUUGAUUAUGUUGUUCCAUUAGGUAAUGUAUAUCCAUUUGAAAUUGAUCUUGAAAUGCUUCAUACAUUUGCAUAAGAUUGCAAUUUGUUUGGUAUUGAUGGGGGUGAAUUUGUUGGUAAUCAUACUUGGUAUGCUUUCAUCUGUUGUAAGUUUGAACUUUUUUUUUUUUUUUGAUGAAGUAAGGUAUUUCAUUAUAGGCAUCAAGAAGAUGCAGAAGGUUACAAUAGAAACUUGGUUAACUCUUAGUACAAAAAACUAUUCUAGAUCAGGGAGUUAACCAAGAGCAAAAGGUAAUGGUUUCUAAACCAUUGAUAGAGAGCUAAUGAAAUCUAUGAGGGGGAUAAUAUCAUUUACAGGGGAAAGGUUACUACAGCUGAAAAGACUCAUCAAACAUUUAGACUUCAGGUGACAGUUGGAAGUUGAAAUGCCAUCAAAACAUCUGCAAUUCUCUCUGUCCAUAUACUCCAAAAAAUACAAGCUGGGAUCAUUUGCCAGAACUUCUUGAUGGAUCUAUCAACUUCCCAAAGGUUCCAGCAGCACCUAUUUGCCAACUGAAAGUUCCUUCUGCAUAGGUUUUUCCUGGGUCAAAAUAGCUUCCUUGAGGGCUGUCCAGGAGAAGCACAUUACUUUUGUAGGGAGUUUUGUCUUCCAUAUCAGCUUCCAUGGCCAAUGUGCAAUCAUAUCGUUAGAUGCACUUAGUUUACUAUAUCCUGCCUUCACUGUGUAGAUACCCUUUUCAGAAUUGCCUCACCUUAAGCUGUCUGAGACUUAGAGGCACUAUAGUUUCGUCAAGUACUCUGUAUAGGUCAAAUAACUGAUUUAGCUCCCAAUCUUGCAUGUUUCUUCUGAAGUGGGGAUCCCAUGUGUUCCGUGCUCUAUUUUGAGCUAAUGAAGAGUCAGGGUCUGAAGCAAUCUGAUAGAGACCAGGUUGUGAAUCUUGCAGAGGUUGAUUGUUGAGCCAUCCAUCCUUCUAGAAUUUAAUGUUGUCGCCAUUCCCAAUCUUGAAGGAUAUCUCUUGAAAGAAUGUAUCUUUCAGAUUGUUGAUGUGCUUCCAUGGGCCAACUCCAUGUGGGGCUCUGCUUUGCUUGGUGCACCACCUGUCUUGCACCUCAUAUUUGGCAUUAACCACCCCUUUCUAGAUGCUUGUUGAUUCUUGAGCAUACCUCCACUACCAUUUCAUGAGUAGACUCUUGUUGUGCUUGGUCAGGUCUCUAAUUACCCAGACCUCCUUGUUUUUUUGGUAUGAUCACUUUUGACCACUUCACCAGAUGGAAUUUAUGGCCUUCACUAUUUCCUUCCCGUAGGAAAGUUCUCCUGAUUUUGUCCAGUUGUUUCUGCACCUUGUUUGGCAUAGGAAGAGGAACAUAAUGCAAGUGGGAAUACUAUCUAGAACACUGCUAAUUAGUGUCAAUCUUCCACCCAUGGACAGAUACUGCAUUUUCCAUGUUGCCAAUUUUUCUACACUUUCUUUAUUGCUCCAUUCCAGAUCUCUGUUGCUUUGUACUUUGCUCCUAGAGGAAGGUCUAAGUAAGUUGUUGGAAACGAUCCUUUGAUCCAGCCCAUUAUGCUUGCCAGUUCCUCCAGAUUAGGUACUUCAUUCAUGGGGUAAACCAUGCUUUUCAACAUAUUGAUGUGCAGCCCUAAGAUUGCUUCAAAUAGUAGUAUUGUCAGGUUUAGAAACUGCACCUGAGAUCUCUCUGCCCCACAAAAGAUUAAAGUAUCAUCUGCAUAAAGCAAGUGAGUAAUUGUGUGACUGAGAAUCCUCAAGGGUUGGCCGGGUGGCAAUUGACUUGAGCCGUGGGGUUAGCUCCUUUUCAAGGUCUCAAGUUUGAAAUCCACUGGGUACAAACAAUUUUUGAGGGCCAUUGGACUGGGUAAAACUUGAAUUAACCGUGGUGCACUAGCGGGAAACUCCUUGCCGAGGGUCUGCACCCCCGGAAUUAGUCGGGGCUUGAAGAAACUCGGACACCCGGUGCAAAUUAGAAAAAAAAACUUUGACUGAGGUAGUUGCAUUGUUUCCCACCCCGAACCCUUAAAUCCACUGCAUUUGCUUUGCCUUGUCUAGCAUUUUACUCAGACCCUCCAUGGCUAGGAUGAAUAAGAAAGGGGACAAAGGGUCACCCUAUCUAAUUCCUUUUUGGGGAGAGAAAAGCCUACCGGAGAUCUAUUCACAAGAACUGAGUACUUGACAGUUGUGAGGCUGUACUUUAUCCAUUUGACCCAUCUUUCCCCCAACCCCAUACCGUUCAACAUUGAAAUUAGGUAGGACCAAUUGACUUUAUCAAAAGCCUUCUCAACAUCUAGCUUGCAAAGAAUUCCAGGAACCCCUCUUUUCAGUCUGUCAUCCAGCAGUUCAUUGGCUACAAGUGAGGCAUCUGUGAUUUGUCUAUUCUUCAGAAAUGCACUUUGCUCUCCAGAAACUAAUUUGGAAAUUACUGUCUUCAAUCUCUCAGCUAGAACUUUGCAAUAAUUUUGUAGAUACUUCUAAUGAGACUGAUAGGCCUAAAGUCCCGCAGAUCUAUUGCUCCUUCUUUUUGGGAACAAGAGCAAUGAAUGAAGCAUUACAGGAUCUGAACAUAUAGCAGUGUUGGUAAAAUUGGGUGAGAGCCCCCAUAAUAUCAGAUUUGAUAAAAGUACAUGCUUUUUGAUAGAAAGCCAUGGUAAAUCCAUCAGGACCUUGACUUUUAUCAGGUGCACAAGAGUUUAUUACUGCCAGCACUUCUUCCUCCUUGAAAGGUCUUCCAAGCCAUACUUUUUCAACUGAUGUUACGCCGUCCAACCCUUCAACGGUCAGUAGGUUUCUAUUACUCAUUCUUAGUGUACAGGUCUUGAUAAAAUCUUACGAUUUCAGCUUUGAUUUCAUCACUGUCUUCAUUUAAUUCAUCCCCGAUCAUUAGUUUAUCUAUACAGUUGUUUCUUCUGUGAGAGCUGGCCAUUUUUUGAAAAAAUUUUGUGUUCCUGUCUCCUUCUUUGAGCCACCAGCAUAUGGAUUUUUGUCUCCUUGUCACCUCUUCCGCCUUUGCCAUCUUUUUCAACUCAAGCUUUAAAUGCAUUGAUAGUUCCUUUUCAGCCUGAGACAUGAGUCUAUUUUUUGUUGUUUGCUCCAGCAAAGCUAAAUCAUCCAGAAGUCUGGUUUUUUGUGCUUCCAUUUGACUAAAGGUUGUUCUAUUCCCGUCUAUGAUGUUUUUUUUUCAAUCUUCUUAGCUUUUGCACUAAUAUGAAGUCUGGACUGCCCCCAAUUGAGUAACUGUGCCACCAUUCCUCAACUUUGUCCAUAAAACCUUCUACCUGGAGCCACAUGCUUUCAAAUUUGAAAUAGGAAGGGUUGGCUUCCCAAUCACCACAUUCCAGGAGUAGAGGCCUAUGAUCUGACUCAACUCUUGGUAGAGCCAGUUGUUUGAUUGCUUUAAAGUUGUCAUUCCAUUCUGGUGAUAUUAAAAACCUAUCAAUUCCGUAAGCUUGCAAGGAAUCCUCCCCCUAAACCAAGUGUAAUGAGCUCCUUGGAGGGGUAGAUCGAUGAUGCCCAAGUCUUGGAUGAUAUCUUAAAAAGUUUUCAUACCCUUGGACCUUCUGACACAGUUGUAUCUUUCACUUUCAUAUCUACAAACAUUGAAGUCUCCUCCUAUGAUCCAUUGAUCCUCCCAGAUGCCUCUGAUAGCUGCAAGUUCAUGCCAGAAGUUCUCCCUCUCUAUGUUGUUAUGUGGACCAUAAACCCCCGUGAAACACCACCCGAAGUCUUCUUGUGAGCUUUCUAGCAUACAAGAAAUACUGUAGAGACCUUGAUGUACUCCCUGUGGGACCAUUGCCUUUUAUCCCAAAGCACAAUGACUCUACCACUUCUCCUAAUUGAAUUCAAAGCUGCCCAUUCAAGCCAUCUGUUGCCCCAAACCUGUCUGAUUAAGAGAGCUGACCAAUCUUCUAUCUUAGUUUCUUGUGAGCAAACUGUAUAUCUGCUUUCCAUUUGUGAAUUAAUGACUUUAUUAUACUCCUUUUUUCUGCUUCAUUGAGACCCGCACAUUCCAACUAAUAAUUUUGAUCUUCAUCCGGAGAAUGCUUUGUAAUACCUGCCCCUAACCCCUUCCAUCUUGCCAUUAGAAUUCAUUCCCCAUUUCAAUCUUUCCAACUCUAAUGUUUGCUUCUUCUUACCCUUUGAACUUGACUUGAUUAAAGAUUCCUGCUUCAGGAUUUGCUCCUGUCUUUUUGCUCCAUGCGCAAGACCAUACCAAGAAUCUCAUGCUCAAACCCGGAAAAAUAGAUUCCAAAUGCCUUGCAUGCUUUGGCCAUCACUGAUUUGGUCCAUCGAGAAGUUCCAAUCACUGCUGGAGAACUGAUUGGUUGCAUACUAGGGGAACCCAGGUCAUACCAAGGGAGGGAGAGAGUUCCACAAGAAGAGAAAUCAGCUUCAGAACUACUCAGUGAUUCGAAUUGCUUUAGGAAUGGCUGCCCUGGAAUAAUUAACUUCAUCUCUUCUGCCUCAUCAUCUGCAUCUGAUGUUGUGUCACAAGCGAAGUCUCUGGCCAACUGGACUGCUCGCAGCCCUUCUAAGGCUUCUAUAUCAGCAGCGAUGGGGUCAAAUUGAUUUGCAAGAGUUAUAGGACUGUUUUUAUUAACACAUGGGUCUAUUAGAGGCCCAAUAGCCUGCCAUUUCACAUGUCCUUUUGCUUUUCGCUUGGUCUGUGGGCCUCUUUUGUAAUACACUUGUUCUAUCUUUUGGCCCAUAUUUUUGACAGCCUCUUUGCCUAACUUAUUAUUUACAAGUUGGGCUGGUCCAUGUGGCGGGUUGGGCCAAGUUUUCUUUUUCACCCCAUUUGAAUUAAAGUGGCUCGGUCGUCUAUGCUGCAGGUUAUUAACCGAAGGGUUUUCCCCUGUCAUCUUCAAUAGGCUCGAGGAAGCGAUGGCCGGCGGUAACUUUGACCCUGCUUCCACCAUUUUCCCUUUCUCUGAAGCUGCUACAACAUCUCCGUCCGAAAUAAUGUUUGAUAUUUGGUCCUCCAGAAUUGAGAUCUUGAAUCUCACAUCAUCAAUCUUCAGUUCCACUUCCUUUUGGGGGGGGGGGGGNNNNNNNNNNNNNNNNNNNNNNNNNNNNNNNNNNNNNNNNNNNNNNNNNNNNNNNNNNGGGUUUGGCUUUGCUUUGGACACAAAUUCUAGCCCAGUAAAAAUGAGUUCUGUGCUUAGUGUCUUCAUCCACAUCAAUAAAGCCUCCACAGAGCUCCCCGAUAUGAUGAAAAGAAUUUGUUGUCCAGCCAUGCAAUGGGAUACCAAAUGCUUUGACCCAUCUUUGACCAGUUUCAUUCUCCAUCGAAAAAGACCCAUAUUCCGGCGACCACCAUUCUAGGGGUAGGCGUCUUCCAUUUCAAAACCAAACACGUGCUUCAACUCUGGCUGCUUCUUGUUUGGAAGAUAGUUCAAAAAGAAAUUUGUUGUGAGCAAUAGGGGUGAUUCUGAGGACGGAUGUGAGAAACCAUUUCUGUAUGACUUAAGUGUUGGGACUUGAGUUGAAGGGAUCAUUGAAGCAGCCAACUAUGCAUUUUGCUAAAAAAUCUUUAGUUCCACCUAGGGUUUUAUCAUCCUACUGCUGUAGAGGCCAUUUUGAGAUUUCAGUAGCAGCUAUGAAUGGUCUUCUUUUCAGAUCUGUAAAUUCCUUGUAUUUGUAAAUUGAAGCUUCCCCAAGAAAGUGUAAUACUUUCCCUGCUAUGUCCCCCCAUCCCUUAUUGUGAACAACUUCUGGAAUGAUAAUUGCUUUCUUCCUGUCCCCUACCCAUACUUCAAUUCUGAGAUUUCUGCCAUAAUUAUUGUAGUUCUGAUAGACCCUAUUGACAUAGGCUUGAAUCUUCCUCCCCAUCUUCUGUAAAGAUUCCCAUAACCCCGCGAAGCUUGUUGCAUUUGCUCACAUACCCAUCUCAAGUUUUCUUCGUCAAUCUGAAUCUGGCUCGUGAAUCUACGACCACGUUCUAUCCAAACAUACCAUCUUUAAGUUCCCUCACUGUCUUCAAUAAGAUCAAAGGACUUAUCACCUGAAAUAAAAAAAGAUUUCCUCCCCAUAGAGUGAGAAAACUGGGGAGGGGGCUCGUCGGAGAGAGGAGUUUAGAAAGAGAAAAAUACAGGUGGCAGAUUUCCCAAGUCAGAACUCAUUUUUUAUGUAUCUCAAUCGAUUGGUUAUUAUCCUGUUGAUGCCGUAAGUUUGAUCCUUUACCAAUAGAUGUAGCUGGUGGGUUGUGAAGUUUUGUGUAGCUGACCCUUAUCAUUGUUAUGUAGUGUGAAACUUUUUUCUAUGUCUUAUUACUUAUUCUAGAGUUCUUUUUUGAAUUGAUCCUAGCUUCCCUUGUUUUCUCAUGUUAGGGAAUAACAGCUACUGGUGUGAAGAAAGAUCAAAUUUUUGUUGGUGAUAUAAGUACUCAAUAUAAGCUCGGAAGUACAAUUGUUGAUGUCAAAGUUGAUACCUACUCCAAUGUAAGAGCAGAAUGCCGGCCUCUAAGACCAAACAACUGUUUGUUUUCUUGAUAAUCUAAUAAGUGGUUAUGAGAUAUAGUUAACCCUUUUUUCUCUUCUUUAUACCUCUGACGAAUUGACUUCUCAUUGAAGUUUAUAUGUUAUCUUUUAUGCAGGUCUCAACUAAAGUUACUUUGGAUGAAGUUUUCCGAUCUGCAAAAGUGUCCCUUGGCUUCAACAUACCAGAUCACAAGUCUGGCAAGGUUAAUACUUGUGUUUACUCUGUAGUCUGUACUAGUCAAAAGAAUCUUUGCUCUGUUACUUAUUCCAACUCUCUCCUUCAAAUUUUCUAGCAAAGUAUUUUCAUGAUUGAAGGUGAACACCUUUUUCUGAUUGUUCCUCGAUAUUGUCGUCUGUCUGAUACACAUAUUUGUGCCAAAGAAUUAUAUUAGUGUGCAUGACAUCGCAGAUAUUAUGGCCAAAGAGACAAAUAAUAGAAUAAAAAAUAGCUGCUUUUCCUGAUAAAAAAAGCUGCUUUUCAAAAUAAUUAUUGCCAAUUUUGACAGAAUAGUAGUAAGUUUUACAAAGAGUUCCUUUUUUUUUUCAUUUUCACUUUUGACAUAAAUAAUUCCUUUUUGCAUAGAUAAAUGGUCGGCUUGAUAGAAGCUAAAGAAUAGCAUACCUACAUGAAUGCAUAUGCAGGAAGAUUUUAAUAUGUUUAUGUCACCAUCAUUGGUGAUUUAAUACAAGGAAAUUUGACUCAUCAGAAAUAGGUGAUAAGUUAUAGUUAGAGUUAGAAAAAGUAAAGAAAAACAAUAGAAAUGAAGCAGAUGACAACUGAUUUGAUGUGCUAAAAUUACUGUUUGUUUCACUGCAAAAAGAUUGUGAAAUCAUCUAUUAGCGUUGGAGACCAAAUGGUCGUUUUGACUCUCUCUCUCUCUCUCUCUCUCUCUCUCUCUCUCUCUCUCUCUCUCUCUCUCUCUCUUUUAGUAGCAGUAUUGGUGGUCAGAUACUGCGAUAAUUACUGGUAUUACAUAAUCAGCCUAACUGAUACAACAGCUCAUACGGCUACUGGUUUAUUUCUUUAUGACUUGUAUAUGGCUACUGCCUAGUAAACUCCAACUUAGUUAGUACAUCUUGGUGCGAGUAACAUCAUUCUGGUCGUACAGGUACAGGCAGAUAAUUGUUUGGUGAGUGAUUAGGUGUUAAUGGUGAACUAGCUGAUACCUGGUGAGAUGUCUCCUUGGCUGCUAGGUGAACUAAACUUAGGAAUACUGCCCGCUAAGAGUUAUUCUUAGAUAUUUUCAGUGCGUGCAAGUAAAUGAUGUAGUUCAAUUUAAUGUAUUAUCAUCCAUGACUUGUUCACCUUUCCUUGCGCAUCAUAAUGUUCAGAAUGUCACUGUGUGCAAUGUUUGCUGAGCCAUAAAGAGUUAGACACAUGUUCUUGAACAUUUCAUGGAUGUCGGACUUCUUUUUGUUUUCUUAUUCCCAAUCAGUAGUUUUUGGUGGAUAGCUUAUAAUGUGUGAAAUCUAGACUCCCUUGUUCACACGCCUCACUUGUCAAGUUGUCUUUGAAAGAAGAGAUAAUAUCAGAGGCUUUACUUUAUGUCCGAACGGGCGUACGUUUGGUGAAGACCCUUAUGUGGGUCCUGUGGAUUAGUAUUCUAUUAAUUUGUUUUUCAAUGUUGAUAUUUCAAUCUUUUUCUUUUUCAGAUGAUGCAAAUGUCAACAUGAUUAAAAUCUCUCAGUUUCUAAAUUAUAGUUGGGAUCUAUUUUCUGAUCUAGUAGAACAGGGAUAAAGCAGUUGAACCAAUUAUUUCAAUUAGGGGCGCAAGCUCUACUUGUUAAUAUUUAUCGUCUUACUCAUGCACAUGUUUGUGAGAGUUAAAUAUGUUGAUACCAUUAGUUGUUUGUGGUAUAGCCUUUUUUCCAAUUUCCUAAAUCUGUCCGAGGGUCGAUUGGAAACAGCCUCUCUGCCCUUUCGGGUAGGGGUAAGGCUCAUCUACAUAUUCCCCUCCCCAGACCCCACCUGGUGGGAGUAUACUGGGUAGUUGUUGUUGUUGUUGUUGUAAAGUGCUUAUAAGCUGGAAUUUAAUAAGUUGGAGGAGACCAACUUAUGGGUUUUGUCUUAUUUUUGACUUAUAAGCACUUUCAAUUUUACCAAACACGUAAAUACUGCAUUUUGUUUUGCUGAUAUAAAAAACCUGUAUUUCAUUUGGUUUGUGAACUCUUAUAAAUCUUUGGAGUCGUUUUUUGUAUUUUCAGCUUGAUGUUCAGUACCUUCAUCAACAUGCUGCCAUCAACUCCAGUAUUGGCUUAAAUCCUUCCCCUCUCUUGGAGCUCUCUGCUGCUAUUGGUAGCAAGGAUUUAGCCCUUGGUGGUGAAAUAGGUUUCAAUACUGCUUCGUCUUCUUUUACCAAGUGCAACGCAGGGAUAAGUUUUAACAGACCGGAUUUUUCUGCUGCACUUAUAUUGUAAGUAAUUGAAUUUUGUUCUUUGCUUGAUAUGCAUUUGGUGUUCUGAGUUCUCCAAAUGUGGUCCUGUCAGUUAUGCGAAAGUAGGACGCAAUCCAUUUGGUGUUUUGAGUUCUCCAAAUGUGGUCCUGCCAGUUAUGUGAAAGUAGGAUGCAAUCCAACUGCGGGACAUGCAGUUAUAUGACUUUUCUACACCAUGUUUCAUUUGCUUUUUGUUUCUUCCUGUUGUAUAAUGAUCUUCCUCAUCACUGUUGAGAUCAAAGGAUACUAAAGCUGUGCUUCUCUAUGUUAAUAAGAGUGAACACUCCAAUAAUACCCUUCUGUUCUGCAGGUUACUACCAAAGCAAAGACAUUUGUUGGAAUCCCAUAUCCGCUUAAGUGCAUGGACUAUAGUCUUCCUUAAGGUCUUUUCCAAUUCUAUCACUUGAGCUAAUUUUUGGGGUUGAGUUCGGCUCAAGAUACAUUUUCCCAACCUGGUGUAAUGGUGUCAAAGCCAGACAUAUCAUGAUGUUGGGCUAAAAAUGUUGGGCACCAGUGUAAUGGUACUCCACGCUCGACAUGUCCAGCUUUAAGCGUGCAAGAGGAGAGGUAGUGUUAUAACACCCGAUGCUAAGUAUAUGAGCUGUAGUGUCCUCAUGUAGCCUCAGACAUCUUCACCAUUGAGCUAGUUUCUGAGGUCUUAGUUAGGCUCAACAUUCAUUUUCUUAAUCGAAAUCUGGCUAUAAUACCAACUAUGUGUAUAAUAUAGACCUCUGGCCUAACUCAAUCAAAAAGUUUGCUUAAGUGGUUAGGAUUGGUUGAGACAAUACAAGAAGACUAUGUCCCAUGUAUAUUGGCGAUAUGGGAUUCUAACAUCAUUCACCAAAUAUUUCUCUGCCAAGCUUGAAUAUAACCUUCUUAGGAGAACUUUAGAAUAGCUGUGCACUGGAAAAUUUGAGAACAAUCCUAAGAUUAGAGAAACUAAUCUUUAGACUUUUUGGGAACAAUAAUUCGAUGUGGAAACUAGUUUUUACUUGCAUAAACAUCAGUCCAGAUUCCUAUGCGCCGAGGGUCGAUUGGAAACAGCCUCUCUGCCCUUUCGGGUAGGGGUAAGGCUNNNNNNNNNNNNNNNNNNNNNNNNNNNNNNNNNNNNNNNNNNNNNNNNNNNNNNNNNNNNNNNNNNNNNNNNNNNNNNNNNNNNNNNNNNNNNNNNNNGGGUAGGGGUAAGGCUCGUCUACAUAUUACCCUCCCCAGACCCCACCUGGUGGGAGUAUACUGGGUAGUUGUUGUUGUUGUUGUUGUAAACAUCAGUCCAGAAAUAAAAUUGCAAAUAGUAACACUCAAAAUUUAAAGUAAGGCCGAGUGAUUAGGUUUCCUAUUAAUUAACGAGGAAUUUAAGAAGCAAAAUGAAGUAUAUUGAACACCCAUUACUGAAUAAAAUUAAGGUGAAUCUGAAUUGUAAGUUCCCUAAUCAAUAUAACUGAAACAUAAAAUGGCUUUGUAUUUGUUGUCUGUCCCGUUGCUUCUACUUUAGGUCUCUAAACUGUGUCAAUAAUGUCUAGCCAAUCAAUUGCAUUACAUUGGACAUGUUGCUUAGAAUGUUAAAUCAGGUCAUAUAAAUAGGUUAGAAGGAGUAUAUAAAAUGCUCAAUAGAUCGUGCUAGCAAAGAAGAUCUCUCUGUCUUAUGUGCAAGCUGUAUGUAUGUUAUUGUCCUUUGUUGGGAUUAGGAAGAGAGCUGGUUAAUUUGAAACAUACAUCGAUUGUCUAAGGCAAUAUCUAAUUUUAUAUGGAUAGAAAGGUAAUGAAGCAAAACCUGGAGAUUCAAAGGAAAGUAAAGUAUCAGAUUAGCGAAUACAGAUGUUAUAUAUGAAAUUUGCUACCCAUCUCUGCUCUCCAAGCAUUAAUGACAGUUUUUCUAUUUCAAGAUUCUUAUUUAGUUGUAUUAAAAAGAAAUGUGCAACUGUGGUGUGAAUUUUUUGCUGCUUACUUUGCUGAAAGUGUGUAUUUCCUGUUGAAUAUAUAAAAAAAAAAAUUGUUAUCCAAAUUUCCUGAAUUGCACAUUUUUGUUGAAGCAUUUACAUCACUUGGGAUAUUAUAUUGGAUGACUAAAAUCUUGCCUAUCUGAGAUUAUAGUCUGUGGUGGCUUUGGAAAAUGAGGGGUUGUAUUUGGCAUUUCAAUUUUCAUUUGUUUCUUGAGCUCAUAAAGUGGGACAGAACUCCGGUUUUCCCUUCACUAGUUGGGGGAACCAUUGUUCCUAUGCUGCCGGGUUACCCAGUCCUUUCUUUAGUAAGAGUGCCUUUUAUAAUGCGUGUAGGUUUCUGCACAUUGCUCUGAUGUGGCUGAAGUUGCAUGCAUUGUCAAGGCUUCAAUUACCAUAUGGAUGUAGCAAGCUUUAGUCUUUUGCUUUUUACCCCCCUUUCAAUCCCUCAGCUGUUGCAUUUAAAUGCACUCAUCAUCAGCUUUAUUCGUUCAAUAAAUUAGAGAUUUUAACUUGUGCUUGUGCAACAUGUACAACAGUUCUUUCAUAUUUCUGAGUGUCUACUCUGCAAUAUUGUUGCUAUCCAUGUAGAACGGACAAGGGACAAGCUGUGAAGGCAUCAUAUGUACACUCUGUCAAUCCAGUAAGUGGAACUGAAGUUGCCGCGGAGAUGAUUCACAGAUUAUCUACCUAUGAGAACAGCUUCAGCAUCGGUAGUGCUCACAAAGUCGACCCAUUAACAUCUGUGAAGACUAGGUUUUCAGACAAUGGGAAGGUUGCAAUGCUUUGCCAGCGGGAAUGGAGGCCCAAGUCACUUAUUACUUUCUCAGCGGAGUAUGACACAAAGGCAAAGAAUGCAGUACCCAAGUUGGGUCUUGCCCUUGCUUUGAAGCCAUAAAAAGGUGCUAUCUCUAAUUCAACCAAUUUUUACUUGGUAGCUUGACGUUCAAAUUCUUUCGAAGGCCUGAAGUGUGGCCAUUACAUCUUUCCUCGCAUCAUUCCAGAGGACACUGGGAAAUCAAACCCAUUUUUGUCAGAUUCAUAUAAUGAUGAUAAAUUUGAAAGAAUACGUUACAGUAGCAUUGUUGCAUAAGGUUCUUCAAUGUCUACUGGCUUUCUAUUGCCUUGAAACUUGAUACUAUAUUUUUUUCUUUUACAAUGAAAUGUUUCUGAUGCCUCGUGCUUUCGCAAAAAGUGUUUGUUUUACUUAUAUUUGCUUCCAUCAUUUCUGGCAUCUCGUUCGGAUGCAUCUCUACAAAUUUUAGGAUUUUGUUUCACAAUUCUAUUUUUGUUAUAUUGAACAUGGACUAAUUACUCUUUACUGAGCUGGAAGCUGAUCAAAGAAAUCAUCAAUACAAGACAAGGGAUACAUAUUGUUGAUGGUAUGAUUAUGUUGAUCGAACGAGAUCGCUUCUUGCUUUUUUUAGCACCUUGACUCCCAUCUUACUUAACACAAGUCUUAUUUAGUGUUUUUUGGUUGAUAAUGAUGUAAUAUUCAAGAAAAUCAUGGAUGGGUAUAAAGUGAUGAACUUCGUAGUUAACAUCUUUAAGCUAUGUCAACGAGAUAUGUAAGUUGAUAAAGUAAACGAAGCACACAUAUGUAUGCCUAAUGAUUAAUAAAUCUCCACAAAAUUUAAUCCGCCAUAUGCAUCUUUAGAAUGGAAGUAGGUAAGCUGUACCAUCUGUUACACUGCGAUAACCAUAUCAAACUUUCGGCCUCUCUUUAAUUUUUUUCUAUACUAGGAGAUACCCAUAUUUGUUCCGGUUUGACAUUCCGGUCCUAGUACUUCAUAAAGUUUUAUUCUGACACUUGAACUCGAUAAAACUAAUAUUUUAAACACCUCUGAUCAUUGAUUAAGCUAAUGUGGCAUAAAUAUAAUUGAGGUGGACAAAAUGUUUGGUAUACACGCACAUAGUAAGUGCGAAAUGGUGGCUAAAUCAGAAAAUAACAAAAAAUUAAAAAGAGAAAGGAAAAAAAAAAGCAUGACAAUUCAUAUCACUCUCAACCCACCAACCUCUUCCAUUUUGGUGUUGGCAUCGCAGCCUUAUCCCAUUCCACCACCACCAUCUCCACGACUACUACCUCCUUCAACUCUGCCAUCAUCACCUUAACCUCCCUAAAUUUUAGAGUUGUUUUGAGCCAUUUCUUUUGCUGCCACCACUAUCACCUUUACUAUUGUUAGAUAUGUAAAUAUAGUAGAACUCUAAUUAUAGUAGAACCCUAAUCCAAUGUGUAUUAGGAGUAGCCUAAUCCAAUAUUUAUUAGGAGUAGGUUAGGUUAUAUGUAUUAUAUAUAGGGCUCAUUGUAUCCACAAGACCACAACUUGCUCUCCCAUUAACCCACAUUUCUCCAUUUUUACCUGUUUAAUCUGUUUUCAAGAUGAUGCAUUUAAGGCCUCCCAGAGAGUAAGAAACUGAUUAAAUGAGUUCUUCAGGAUAAAUGAGUAAUCUGUGAAUCUCUGAUUUGGUGUAGGCGGAUAAAUGACAUCAUUGUUCAGUACAAAGGCAGCUUUGUGCUUGAACUGCAGCAGAGAGCUAUUGAAUUUAACUCAGUAAUUGAGAGGCAUCAGAAUAUCAGGUUUGUUUGAUCUCAUUUAAAAGGUUGUUCGAUGCCUCUACUUUUGUUAUAGCUCACUCAUAGGAGUUUCUGGAUCAUGGAUGUAUGUUUUCAGGCCUUCACUUGUCGAAAGAAUGCCAGUUCUUGAUGAAGCAACCUACAGUGGAAAGAAGGCUGGCUCUUUGCCAGCAGCUGGAUCAACAUCUCAAGGAGUGUCAGUUAAUCUUCCAAAUGGAGUUGCCAAGCCUAGUGCUACCCCUCUUGUUGACUUGCUUGAUCUUAGUUCAGAUGAUGUAGCUGCACCUAGUUCUUCUGGUGGAGACUUUCUUCAGGAUCUUCUUGGUGUUGAUCUGGCGCCAGUUUCUUCACAAUCAGGUUAGUGUUGCUAUGUUCCAUUGCAUGAAUAUGGUUGCCUGAUUUGUAAUUCUGAUUUUCCUCAUAUUCUCAUCUUUCCCCUUAUAGCAAUUAAAUGUGUAUCCUUUGACCAUUCUUACUGUUAGAUAUGUAAAUAUAGUAGAACUCUAAUUAUAGUAGAACCCUAAUCCAAUGUGUAUUAGGAGUAGCCUAAUCCAAUAUUUAUUAGGAGUAGGUUAGGUUAUAUGUAUUAUAUAUAGGGCUCGUUGUAUUAUGUUUAAUUUCAGUUAUAUUUUUCUCCCGUGCUUUCUCACAACUAUGACACAGAAUCGCCUCCUCUUCUCCCUAUUUCUCCAUCAAUUUACUCCGAAUAGGAAAAUGAAUAAUACAAAAAUCUGAUUAUUUGAAGUGUUGGUAUUUAUUUUGGAUGAAUUUUUGGAGUUUUCAAAUGGAUUGAGCUUAACAAAUUUGCUUCUCAAAGGCAAUAUACCACCAACAUAAUUUAGACCUUUACAAGCCUUUUUGUCCAUAGAUUUCAUGGCCUUAAGCAAUUCAAUCCUCCUUUGAUAUUUUCUUUUCAUUAUCCUUAAAGAUUAAAGAGUUUACGCUAUCAACAAAAUUAGUUGUUGAAUUAUUACUUUUGGUGCAUAAUUUGGAUGGGUACACUGAGUGGAUUUGGGAGUUUUGACUUCUGUAACUUGGAAAAAAUAGAGUAGAAAGAGCAGGUUAAAUAGAGAAGGAAACCUUGAAGGAUGGAAGAAGUAGCUUGUCACCAUUUAAGAAUUUGUGAGCUUUCAAGGGUGAAAAUGUUGUUGAUGGGUAAAAGGCAAAGAGAUGAAAACGUAGAGAGAGAAGAAAUAGUGUGCGGUCUAUUUUUUUUUUUGGGAAAAAAAAAUUGAUUUGACAAUUUUAUUAACAUUAAAUUAUGAUAUGGAUGGUAUUUAUCAAGGUGGAUCUGAUGUGUCCUCCAUAUCAUGGAGAGUGAACAACACACAUGGUCGGAGGUGUUUAAAAUAUUAGUUUUGAUGGAGUUCAAGUGUUUGAAUGAAACUUUAUGAAGUCCAAGGACCGGAAUGUCAAAUCAGAACAAGUAGAGGUGUUUCCUAGGCUAUUAUGCCAAAAUACAUUAUUAAAAGGGGAAUUUUGGAGCAACGAUAAAUUUGUCGUCGUGUGACUUAUAAUCACAUGUUCGAACGUGAAAGUAACUAUUAAUACUUGCAUUAGGGUAGACUUUCUACACCAUACUCCUAGGAAUGUGAUCCUUUCUCAAAUCUUGCAUAAAUACUAUGUGCUUUGUGCACCAGACUAUCCUUAAUAAAAAUACAUUAUUUCAUAUGUUAGUGUAUUUUAAGUUAUGUUUUGACUAGUCAUUAUGUUAGGUAAACAUGUACAAUUGAGUGUAAUAUCUCAUAUGAACCUCUAUCCAAAUGUGGGGUCACAUACUCCCACAAUAAUUAAUAUAUAUAUAUAUUGUUGUGCAAAAACCAACACCACCACAAGGUUCCCAAGGGAAUUCCGACCAAACCCCAGAAAAUAUCACCGGAGAAUAACCCCCCACGCGCCUCCACGCGCCCGCCGUAGUUCUGCCGGCGGCGGCGCGUCUGUGCCACGCGCCGGCAAACAACAAUAGAACACUAGCGAAAAGGGUUUGUUACUAGGCUAACAAUGAUAACUCGUUUUUGUCAAAUGAUUAUGCUUGUAGAAUAUUUGGACAUGAUUGAAUUUAAAUUAAAAAAGAGAAGUAUUUGAAGUUGAAGUGUGUCAAUUGUGUUUAAUUUGAACCUGAAUUUCAGUUAAAAAAAAGUCAGAAAUUUUGCGAGGAAAAAUUAGAAAUAGAAAAAGAAUUAGCUCAAAUAACCCUUCACCUAAUCUCUUUAAUGAUAAAUAACCAACGGAUAUAUAAUAUAUGUAUAAUUCGUAUAUAAUAUACGUAUAAUUGUAUGUAAUUAAUAUACAAUCUAUAUAUACAAGCUAAAAAAUAUAACAUUGAAUCUGGUUGACUAUUUGUCACGAUCCCCGUGAUGGCGCCUACUAAGCAAGGCAAGCCAAACUUAAUUCCUUUUCAUUAAACACAUAUUCCUUUUAGUAAUUUAACAAACAUAAAAAUAGAAUCAACGGAAUUAAAAUCAUAAGCAGAAUUCUUAAAUUAAAUUAGCUGAAUAAAAAUACGGAGUUUUCAACAUAAUCUCUACCCAAGAACUAGAGUAACAUACUCACGAACAUCUAAGAAUACUAAGUAUAAAUUCUGAAAGAAACAUAAAUAUGUUUAUCUCGAAUACAAGGAGAUUACAGUCUAAAAUAAGAAUAGAGGAUACGCCGGGACUGCGGGCGCCUGCAAGGCUACCUCGGGUCUCACUAGGCUGAAAGUAUGCUCCCACGCUACUGUUGCACCUACUGCUCGAAACCUGGAUCUGUGCAAAAAUCGCACAGUAUGUAGUAUCACCACAACCGACCCCAUGUGUUGGUAAGUGUUUAGCCUAACCCCGACGAAGUAGUGACGAGGCUAGACUGGACUACCACAUACAACAACAACUCAGUAUAAUCCCACUUAGUGGGGUAUGGGGAGGGUAGUAUGUACGCAAACCUUACCUCUACCCUUGGGUAGAGAGGCUGUUUCCAAAUAGACCCCCGGCAUCCUUCCCUCCAAGAACUUCCCACCUUGCUCUUGGGGAGACUCGGACUCACAACCUCUCGGUUGGAAGUGGGGGUUGCUUACCAUCAGAGCAACCCCUCUUGCUUACC
RNAcentral lists this long non-coding RNA (20750 nucleotides) under Nicotiana benthamiana. RNAcentral describes it as "long non-coding RNA (NBEN_LNC035387)". Lineage: Eukaryota; Viridiplantae; Streptophyta; Magnoliopsida; Solanales; Solanaceae. The record is from RNAcentral.